UACACACAUACACCCCUAAGACUUGAGAGAGCAGCCACAACGCAGGGACUACAAAAAACCUUGAACAGACACCAUCAAGAAAGGAAUUGCCUGCCCUCUUCUCUCUAUCCUCAUGCGUUUCUAUCACCACCAAAUACUACAAAAAAGAAAAGAAAAGAACAUGUUACUUCAAUCACACAAGAUUAAUAUACAACAAUCAAUAUCUCACCUUUAGAAAUUUUCCUUUACCAUUAUCACCGUCCCAAUCACUAUGUGAAUAUCAUCACUAAACCAUCAUUCUCCAAUGUCCUUCAUUAACAAUUCCAUCUUCAUUUUUAUUAUUAAUUCCACUCUUUUAUCAUGGAUCUUCUUUAGGAUAGAGUUGUUUGAGCUUUCCAAGUUGGACUUGAGGUUUUUCCGGUCCAGUUGGGCAAUUUCUUGUUCGAGGUUCUAGUUUAAAAGAUGAUCGUAGAGUUUGAUUUCUAGUUCAAUUUCUGACGGAUUUGCCGAUGUUGAAUUCGUUUGUAGGAGGUUCUUCAUAUAAUUACAAAUCUGAAAUUGCUUCACUCAAGGUCUAUUUCUACUCCAGAUCUUUAAUUCGUGCAUAUUUUUAUUCUUGUUUAAUGUGCUUGACCUCUAUAUUGCUUGUUCACCGUUUUUAUGUUUAUGUGGUGAAUUAUUCUUAGUUUUAGAUUUCUUGUGAUGCUAUACUGAUUUUCAGUUUUGUCUUGUUAGCUUCACAAUUACAAUCUAGUAGUAGCAAUUAUGGUUUUUAGAUUGCAUUUGUUUGUUGAGCUACAUGCUAGAUUAGUUGAAUGAAUUUAAUUUAUUUAACCAAAUUUGGUUUAAAAUUAGGGAAUGCAAAAUCAAAUGGGUUGUGUAGCUUAAUUUGGAGUUGAACCAGUUGAAUUGCUUUUUUGAUAAAAGUGGCUAUGGACGUAAGGGAAUGCAAAAUCAAAUGGGCUGUGUGGCUUAAUUUGGAGUUGAACCAGUUGAAUUGUUUUUUUGAUAAAAAUGGCUAUGGACGUAAAGUUCCUGUACAACUAUUCCUACAAUUUAGGCUACUACUUCUCUUGGAUCUUCAAAGUGACUUUGAACUUUGUUUUUCAUCAAUUGAUUCAAGAAACCCUGAUUUAUCUUCAUUCUUCGAAUUCAAACUGAUUUUGCCAGUAUCAAGAAUAUUGCACUGUUUUAAUGUGGGGACGAACAGUAAGAAUAAAAAUCGAAUCUAUCACGUUAAUUGUUCAAAUCGCUAGUGUGCUUUAGGCAUGUUAAUUAAAUUAAUCAUCGUAACUAUGGGUAUGGUUCUAGUGGCAUAGUCAUGAUACAUUUAAUCCCAAUUCGGGUAUGCAUUUCAUGUGACCCGACCAUAAUUUCGAAUAAUAAUAAGAUAAACAUAUUAUAAAUCCGAGUGUGCAUUUCAUGUGACCGACUUCAAUUUCCAAUAAUGUUAAAUAAAAUAAAACGUUUCGUGAACCAUGGGCGCAUUUCAUGUAGCGUGGUUUACGAUGUGUUUUAAAUAAACCUUGAAUUUUCCCAAAAUAUUAAAAACAGCUAAAAAUUUGAAAAUGCACAUAGGUUUCAAAAAAGUUUUAUUAAUCAGAUAAUUAGGCCAAUGAUAAUAGUUGAGCCACCGUGCUAAAACCACGGAACCCGGGAAUGCCUAACACUUUCUCCCGGGUUAACAGAAUUCCUUACCCGAAUUUCUGUGUUCGUGGACUGUAAAACAGAGUCAAUCUUUCCUCGAUUCGAGAUUUUAAACCGGUGACUUGGGACACCAUAAAUUAUCCCAAGUGGAGACUCUGAUUUAAUAAAUAAUCCUGUUUCGAUUGUAACUUAAAUUGGAAAAACUCUCUUAUACCCCUCUCGGGGUGGUAAAAAGGAGGUGUGAUAGUCGCCCCAUUAUGAUAUUCUUGAUUGUCAUGCCAAAACGGUGACGCUAGCUAUGCUAGGUGUACCGCGAGUAGAGUGAAGGGGUACUUUAGAUCACACUCCCAGUAGAGUUAUUUCUUUCCUUAAAGCUCAGCAAAUGGUUGAGAAGGGGUGUGACGCGCAUCUGGCCUAUGUGAGAGAUGUUAGUGUUGAUACCUCUACAGUUGAUUCAGUCCCAAUAGUACAGGAUUUCUCUGAUGUGUUUCCAACUGAUAAUCUGGGAAUGCCGCCCGAUAGAGAUAUUGAUUUUGGCUUUGAUCUGUUGCCAGGCACUUAGCCCAUUUCUAUUCCUUUGUACUGUAUGGCACCUCCUAAGUUGAAGGAGUUGACGGAUCAGUUAUAGGAAUUUCUUGAUAAGGGUUUUAUUCGGCCCAGUGUAUCACCUUGGGGUGAUCCUAUCUUGUUUGUGAAGAAAAAGGAUGGUUUUAUGCGUAUGUCCAUUGAUUAUCGCCAAUUGAACAAAGUUACAGUGAAGAACUGGUAUCCUUUGCCUUGUAUUGAUGGUUUGUUUGACCAACUACAGGGUGCACGAGUGUUUUAUAAGAUUGACUUGCGUUCAGGUUACCAUCAAUUGAAGAUUCGGGAGCCAGAUAUCCUAAAGACUGCUUUCAGAUAUGUCAUUUGGGUUCCUUGAUAUGUCAUUUAGGCUGACCAAUGCCCCAGCAGCCUUCAUGUAUUUGAUGCACAGUGUGUUCCAACCAUAUCUUGACUCUUUCAUCAUUGUCUUUGUUGAUGAUAUUCUAGUAUACUCCCAGAGUCGGGAAGAUCAUGAGCAGCACCUGAGGACAAUGCUUCAGACUUUGAGAGAAAAUAAGUUGUAUGCAAAGUUCUCAAAAUGUGAGUUUUGGUUGGAUUCCGUGGAAUUCUUGGGUCACGUGGUGUCGAGUAAGGGGAUAUAGGUGGAUCCGAAGAAAGUGGAAGCAGUGCAGAGUUGGCCUAGACCAUCCUCAACUAUAGAGAUCCAUAGUUUUCUUGGUUUGGCGGGUUAUUACCAUCGAUUUGUUGAGGGGUUUUCAUCUAUUACAGCAACUAUGACCAGGCUAACCCAGAAGGGUGCUCCAUUCCAGUGGACGGAAGAGUGUGAGGCGAGCUUCCAGAAGCUCAAGAUAGCUUUUACUACAGCCCCAGUAUUGAUAUUGCCUACAGGUUCAGGGUCUUAUACUGUCUAUUGUGAUGCCUUAAGGAUUGGCCUUGGAGCGGUAUUGAUGCAGGACGGUAGGGUGAUUGCGUACGCAUCCAUACAGUUGAAGGUACAUGAGAAGAAUUAUCCUGUCCAUGAUCUCGAGUUAGCUGCUAUUGUUCACGCCUUGAAGACCUGGCAUCAUUAUUUGUACGGUGUUCCUUGUGAGAUCUAUACUGAUCAUCGGAGUUUAUAGCAUUUGUUCAAGCAGAAAGAUCUUAAUUUGCGCCAGAGGAAAUGGUUAGAGCUGCUGAAAGACUAUGAUAUCACUAUCUUGUAUCACCCGGGCAAUGCCAAUGUGGUGGCCGAUGCUUUGAGUCGCCGGGCAGAGAGUUUGGGGAGUUUAGCUUAACUACUAGCAGUGGAGAGGCCCAUGGCGAUGGAUGUUCAGGCCUUAGCCAGCCAGAUUGUGAGAUUGGAUCUUUCGGAGCCUAGUCGGGUUCUAGCUUAUGUGAUCUCUCAGUCUUCCUUAUUUGAUUGUAUCAGGGAGCGUCAGUAUGAUGGCCCUUAUUUACUUGUCCUUAAGGACAAGGUCCUACAUGGCAAUGCCAGAGAUGUGACUAUUGGUGAUGACGGGGAUAUUGAGGAUGCAGGGUCGGAUAUGUGUACCCAAUGUUGAUGGGCUUCGGGAGUUGGUUCUAGAGGAAGCCCAUAGUUUGCGGUAUUCCAUCUAUCCGGGUGCCGCAAAAAUGUACCAAGAUUUGAGACGGCACUAUUGGUGGAGACGGAUAAAGAAAGAUAUAGUUGGGUUUGUAGCUCGAUGCCUCAAUUGUCAACAGAUGAAGUAUGAGCACCACAAACUAGGUGGGUUGCCUCAGCAAAUAGAGAUUCCGGAGUGGAAGUGGGAGCGGAUCACCAUGGACUUCGUAGUUGGACUCCCACGGAAUUUAAAGAAGUUCGAUGCCAUUUAGGUGAUUAUGGAUCGGCUGACCAAGUUCGCGCACUUCAUUUUUGUGUGUAUUACCUAUUCUUUGGAGCGGUUGGCGGAGAUUUACAUCUGGGAGAUUGUUCGUCUACAUUGUAUUCCAAUUUCCAUCAUUUCAUAUAGAGGUACUCAGUUCACAUCACGGUUCUGGAGGGUCGUACAGCAUGAGUUGGGAACUCGGGUGGAGUUGUGCACAUCAUUUCAACCCUAGAUGGACGGACAGUCCAAGCACACUAUUCAGAUUCUUGAGGAUAUGCUCAGUGCGUAUGUGAUGGAGUUUGGAGGUUCUUGGGAUCAGUUCUUGCCACUGGCGGAGUUUGCCUACAACAACAGUUAUCAAUCUAGCAUUCAAAUGGCACCAUAUGAGGCCUUGUAUGGUAGGCGGUGUAGAUCCCCGGUGGGUUGGUUCGAGCCGGGUGAGGCUAGAUUAUUUGGCACAGACUUGGUUCAGGACGCCUUGGAUAAGUUUAAGGUAAUUCAGGAUAGACUUCCCAUAGCCUAGUCCAGACAAAAGAGUUACGCGGACCGGAAGGUUCAUAAUGUUUCCUAUAUGGUUGGAGAGCGGGUCUUGCUUCAGGUUUCGCCUAUGAAGGGCAUCAUGCGAUUUGGGAAGAAAGGGAAAUUGAUUCUGAGGUUUAUCUGUCCUUUUAAGAUAUUGAAACGUGUUGGGGAGGUUGCUUAUGAGCUUGCCUUACCUCCCAGCUUAGCAGGAGUUCAUCCGAUAUUUUAUGUUUCGAUGCUCCGGAAGUAUCACGGUGACCCAUCACAUGUGUUGGAUUUCAGUUCAGUCCAGUUGGACAAGGAUCUAUCAUAUGUUGAAGAGCCAAUGGCGAUAUUGGGCAGACAGGUUCGAAAGCUGAGGUCAAAUAACAUUGCAUCCGUGAAGGUUCAGUGGUAGGGUCAGCCAGUUGAGGAGGCGACUUGGUAGACCGAGCAGGAUAUGCGUAGCCGUUACCCUCAUCUUUUCACUACUCCAAGUAUGUCACUAUGCUCGUUCGAGGACGAACGAAUGUUUUAAAAGGGGGAAGAUGUAACAAGCCGGCCGGUUAUUUUAAGAAUUAACACCCCGAUCCCUUAUUAACUGCUUCCCCCGUGUUUGUUUCUGCUAUUUUGAGUUGCCGGGAGUAUUUUUUGUGUUUUGGGACACUUAGUCCCUCAAUGAGAGCUUAAGCUUUAGAAAUUAGGUCGUAGCCGGGAUAUUUACUUUGGUACUACGGGUUGGUAUUCCGGGAGUUUCCCCUGCAUAUUUAUGAUUCGGACUACGGGAUGAUAUCCCGGGAGUUCUUCUGAACAUUUACGUUUGGGACUACGGGACGAUAUCCUGGGAGAUCCCCUGUUGUUAUUUCUAUGUACUGAGUUAGAUCCUUUCUGUGAUUUUAUUCGUUAUAGACUGUUAGCAUUUUAAUUAUGUGGUCAUAUUCUAUACUGUUUUACCUUGUUUUUCAUCUAUAAUCAGUAGGGCCCUGACCUUCCUCGUCACUACUCGACCGAGGUUAGGCUUGGCAUUUACUAAGUACCGUUGUGGUGUACUCAUGCCCUUUCCUGCACAUGUUUUUCGUGUGCAGAUCCAGGUUCUUCGGCUCAGUCCUAUUUCCAGUGAGGCGAGGCGAUCUUCAGAGACUUCGAGGUAUAUCUGUCGUGUUCGCAGGCCGAUGAGUCCCUCUCUAUUCUCUCUUCUAGCUUUAUCUCUCAUGUAUUUACUUUUGUUUAGACAUUCUCGAGUUAGAACACCUUGUAGUUAUUCCACAACUUGUGAUUUCAUGAGAUUCUGGAUUUUGGGAGUUGAUUCAGUUUGAGAGUUUAUAUUUGUAUAUGCCGAGCGACAUCUUAAAUGUUUUAUUUAUGUUUAUUCUGCAGUUUCUGGCUA
RNAcentral lists this long non-coding RNA (5883 nucleotides) under Nicotiana tabacum (common tobacco). RNAcentral describes it as "long non-coding RNA (NTAB_LNC018316)". Lineage: Eukaryota; Viridiplantae; Streptophyta; Magnoliopsida; Solanales; Solanaceae. The record is from RNAcentral.